This 248-nucleotide long non-coding RNA is filed under the name Carica papaya (papaya). Its description in RNAcentral is "long non-coding RNA (CPAP_LNC007793)". The record is from RNAcentral. Lineage: Eukaryota; Viridiplantae; Streptophyta; Magnoliopsida; Brassicales; Caricaceae.
UUCAUCAUGAUUAUCAUCCCUCCACAAGUAUAUGAUCAUGAUCAUCCAUAGAUCUCCACCACUGCAUAUAUAUAUAUACACACACACACACACACACAACAUCAAUAUAGAUCAAUAUCAGGAGGGAGAUGUUUCAGAAGAUAACUACAUAUAUAUAUAUAUAUAUAUGUUGUGCAUGAGCUAUAUACAUAACAUAUCCAUGAUCUAUAAAAUAAAACUAAAAAAUCACAUGCCGAUCAUCAUCGUUC